This 1546-nucleotide ribosomal RNA is filed under the name Streptococcus salivarius. Its description in RNAcentral is "16S ribosomal RNA". It matches the Rfam family "Bacterial small subunit ribosomal RNA". Lineage: Bacteria; Bacillati; Bacillota; Bacilli; Lactobacillales; Streptococcaceae. The record is from RNAcentral.
AUGGGAGAGUUUGAUCCUGGCUCAGGACGAACGCUGGCGGCGUGCCUAAUACAUGCAAGUAGAACGCUGAAGAGAGGAGCUUGCUCUUCUUGGAUGAGUUGCGAACGGGUGAGUAACGCGUAGGUAACCUGCCUUGUAGCGGGGGAUAACUAUUGGAAACGAUAGCUAAUACCGCAUAACAAUGGAUGACACAUGUCAUUUAUUUGAAAGGGGCAAUUGCUCCACUACAAGAUGGACCUGCGUUGUAUUAGCUAGUAGGUGAGGUAACGGCUCACCUAGGCGACGAUACAUAGCCGACCUGAGAGGGUGAUCGGCCACACUGGGACUGAGACACGGCCCAGACUCCUACGGGAGGCAGCAGUAGGGAAUCUUCGGCAAUGGGGGCAACCCUGACCGAGCAACGCCGCGUGAGUGAAGAAGGUUUUCGGAUCGUAAAGCUCUGUUGUAAGUCAAGAACGAGUGUGAGAGUGGAAAGUUCACACUGUGACGGUAGCUUACCAGAAAGGGACGGCUAACUACGUGCCAGCAGCCGCGGUAAUACGUAGGUCCCGAGCGUUGUCCGGAUUUAUUGGGCGUAAAGCGAGCGCAGGCGGUUUGAUAAGUCUGAAGUUAAAGGCUGUGGCUCAACCAUAGUUCGCUUUGGAAACUGUCAAACUUGAGUGCAGAAGGGGAGAGUGGAAUUCCAUGUGUAGCGGUGAAAUGCGUAGAUAUAUGGAGGAACACCGGUGGCGAAAGCGGCUCUCUGGUCUGUAACUGACGCUGAGGCUCGAAAGCGUGGGGAGCGAACAGGAUUAGAUACCCUGGUAGUCCACGCCGUAAACGAUGAGUGCUAGGUGUUGGAUCCUUUCCGGGAUUCAGUGCCGCAGCUAACGCAUUAAGCACUCCGCCUGGGGAGUACGACCGCAAGGUUGAAACUCAAAGGAAUUGACGGGGGCCCGCACAAGCGGUGGAGCAUGUGGUUUAAUUCGAAGCAACGCGAAGAACCUUACCAGGUCUUGACAUCCCGAUGCUAUUUCUAGAGAUAGAAAGUUACUUCGGUACAUCGGUGACAGGUGGUGCAUGGUUGUCGUCAGCUCGUGUCGUGAGAUGUUGGGUUAAGUCCCGCAACGAGCGCAACCCCUAUUGUUAGUUGCCAUCAUUCAGUUGGGCACUCUAGCGAGACUGCCGGUAAUAAACCGGAGGAAGGUGGGGAUGACGUCAAAUCAUCAUGCCCCUUAUGACCUGGGCUACACACGUGCUACAAUGGUUGGUACAACGAGUUGCGAGUCGGUGACGGCAAGCUAAUCUCUUAAAGCCAAUCUCAGUUCGGAUUGUAGGCUGCAACUCGCCUACAUGAAGUCGGAAUCGCUAGUAAUCGCGGAUCAGCACGCCGCGGUGAAUACGUUCCCGGGCCUUGUACACACCGCCCGUCACACCACGAGAGUUUGUAACACCCGAAGUCGGUGAGGUAACCUUUUGGAGCCAGCCGCCUAAGGUGGGAUAGAUGAUUGGGGUGAAGUCGUAACAAGGUAGCCGUAUCGGAAGGUGCGGCUGGAUCACUCCCUUA